Molecule: ribosomal RNA, 506 nt
Filed under: uncultured bacterium
Lineage: Bacteria
Description: partial 16S ribosomal RNA
Rfam family: Bacterial small subunit ribosomal RNA
Source: RNAcentral
GAUGAACGCUAGCUACAGGCUUAACACAUGCAAGUCGAGGGGUAACGAGAGGAAAGCUUGCUUUCCUUGUCGACGACCGGCGCACGGGUGAGUAAUGCGUAUCCAACCUGCCCCCAACUAAGGAAUAACCUUGCGAAAGUAAGACUAAUACCUUAUAAUUUCCUCAGAUGUCAUCUGACGAGGAAUAAAGAUUUAUCGGUUGUGGAUGGGGAUGCGUCUGAUUAGCUUGUUGGCGGGGUAACGGCCCACCAAGGCAACGAUCAGUAGGGGUUCUGAGAGGAAGGUCCCCCACAUUGGAACUGAGACACGGGCCAAACUCCUACGGGAGGCAGCAGUGAGGAAUAUUGGUCAAUGGGCGGAAGCCUGAACCAGCCAAGUAGCGUGCAGGAUGACGGCCCUAUGGGUUGUAAACUGCUUUUAUACAGGAAUAAAGUUAGCCACGUGUGGUUAUUUGUAGGUACUGUAUGAAUAAGGACCGGCUAAUUCCGUGCCAGCAGCCGCGGUAA